Molecule: ribosomal RNA, 253 nt
Filed under: uncultured bacterium
Lineage: Bacteria
Description: partial 16S ribosomal RNA
Rfam family: Bacterial small subunit ribosomal RNA
Source: RNAcentral
UACAGAGGGGGCAAGCGUUGUUCGGAAUUACUGGGCGUAAAGGGCGCGUAGGCGGCCUGUUAAGUCGAACGUGAAAUCCCCGGGCUCAACCCGGGAACUGCGUCCGAUACUGGCAGGCUUGAAUUCGGGAGAGGGAUGUGGAAUUCCAGGUGUAGCGGUGAAAUGCGUAGAUAUUGGGAAGAACACCGGUGGCGAAGGCGGCUAUCUGGACCGACAUUGACGCUGAGGCGCGAAAGCGUGGGGAGCAAACAGG